GACGAACGCUGGCGGCGUGCUUAACACAUGCAAGUCGAACGGAAAGGCCCUGCUUUUGUGGGGUGCUCGAGUGGCGAACGGGUGAGUAACACGUGAGUAACCUGCUCUUGACUUUGGGAUAACUUCAGGAAACUGGGGCUAAUACCGGAUAGGAGCUCCUGCUGCAUGGUGGGGGUUGGAAAGUUUCGGCGGUUGGGGAUGGACUCGCGGCUUAUCAGCUUGUUGGUGGGGUAGUGGCUUACCAAGGCUUUGACGGGUAGCCGGCCUGAGAGGGUGACCGGGCACAUGGGGACUGAGAUACGGCCCAGACUCCUACGGGAGGCAGCAGGGGGGAAUAUUGCACAGUGAGCGGAAGCCUGAUGCAGCAACGCCGCGGGCGGGAUGACGGCCUUCGGGUUGUAAACCGCUUUCGCCUGUGACGAAGCGUGAGUGACGGUAAUGGGUAAAGAAGCACCGGCUAACUACGUG
This 468-nucleotide ribosomal RNA is filed under the name uncultured bacterium. Its description in RNAcentral is "partial 16S ribosomal RNA". It matches the Rfam family "Bacterial small subunit ribosomal RNA", at positions 28 to 507 of the family's 1533-position model. The record is from RNAcentral.